CAGGUGUGGUCAGCCUUGUGUAUCCAGGGGUCUGGUCGGAGGGCUGUGGGGUGUAGGUGAUCCUAACCCUAACCCUAACCCUCUGAUGAGGCAUGCCCCGGGGGAGCAUUUUUGAGUCUGCACAACUUGUGUUUGCAAACUGCUUUGGGCAGCUCAGUGUCGUGGGUUGUGCACACAGGCUUAGCCUGACUCCCUGGGUUCAAACUGGAUGCCUGGGUGCAGGCAUCUGUUUCUGCAUGUGGAACAUUGAGAUGAUAAUCACAUGCUCCUUGGAGCCUUGUGGUGAAGAUGAAAGGAAUGAAUGAAUGCAAAGCUCCUAGAAUGGUGCCCGGCACACGCAGAGCUCUUCUCAACUGCUCCUCCAGAUGGGUGGGGCAAGUCAUCUCUAUGUUAUCAACAAGACCAUGGCAGCCAGGAGAAGCCAAGUCCUACCUUACCUUUGCAGGGUGGACUUGGGCUCUGUGGAGGGGGGAAGGCUUGGGAAGGAGAGGUGGGAUUCUGAUAGGAAGAAAGGCAGAAGAGAGUUCAAAGAGAGAAAACAUCAGUGGCUUUUGCUUUCAGCUGGAUGGGGGCUCCACGCUGGAGAGAAGUUCACCCCUGCUCAGAGCUGUGCUCCUGUGGUUUGUUGUGCCCAGUCAUGGGAAAGCUGGGAAAGGAACAUGCUUAGCAAAUUAGACGACCUUUGGCUUGAGGCCAGGCUGGGGGGCGGGUGGCCACCGGCAGAGCUCCUCCCCCAUCCAUCGGCUGCAGGCCCUCUCACCUGCACAUCAGGGACAAGAAAGCAGCCCCUUGCUGGGCAGGAGCACCCUGCAGGCUGGAGACAGGAGCACAGAGCCCUGGGACCAGGCUCUGCAGCUGCACCAACAGAGGAACUCUGUUUUUAAGAGUUUUGAGAGAAGGAAGCUGGGAAGGGGGUAGCAGAGAGGAACUCAGAGAACGUUCUGAGGGAGGUUUACCAUCUCCCUCACUAGACGGCAACUGUCCAAAUGACAGGAGUCAUUCUCCACCAAAUUCAUUGUUAAGUCCUUCAACACUUCACAGGAAGUCUGGCAUGAUUUCUUGGUUGAAAGAAUAAGCAAAACCUACGUGGGGGUGGGGGUGCACAGAUGCUUUUCAAUGUGC
This 1122-nucleotide long non-coding RNA is filed under the name Marmota monax (woodchuck). Lineage: Eukaryota; Metazoa; Chordata; Mammalia; Rodentia; Sciuridae. The record is from RNAcentral.